AACGAACGCUGGCGGCAUGCCUAACACAUGCAAGUCGAACGAGACCUUCGGGUCUAGUGGCGCACGGGUGCGUAACGCGUGGGAACCUGCCCUUAGGUUCGGAAUAACUCCCCGAAAGGGGUGCUCAUACCGGAUAAUGUCUUCGGACCAAAGAUUUAUCGCCUUUGGAUGGGCCCGCGUUGGAUUAGCUAGUUGGUAGGGUAAAAGCCUACCAAGGCGACGAUCCAUAGCUGGUCUGAGAGGAUGAUCAGCCACACUGGGAAUGAGACACGGCCCAGACUCCUACGGGAGGCAGCAGUGGGGAAUAUUGGACAAGGGGCGAAAGUCUGAUCCAGCAAUGCCGCGUAAGUGAUGAAGGCGUUAGGGUUGUAAAGCUCUUUUACCCGGGAUGAUAAUGACAGUACCGGGAGAAUAAGCUCCGGCUAACUCCGUG
RNAcentral lists this ribosomal RNA (433 nucleotides) under uncultured bacterium. RNAcentral's name for it is "partial 16S ribosomal RNA". It matches the Rfam family "Bacterial small subunit ribosomal RNA", at positions 29 to 507 of the family's 1533-position model. The record is from RNAcentral.